RNAcentral lists this long non-coding RNA (2960 nucleotides) under Homo sapiens (human). RNAcentral's name for it is "HSALNT0301401". The record is from RNAcentral. Lineage: Eukaryota; Metazoa; Chordata; Mammalia; Primates; Hominidae.
CCUCUCUCCACGUCCACGGCGCCGAGUCUCGCCACGGUGGCGCAGGCGCCAGGGAGGUUCCCCGGCUUUGCCGCGCGGAGGAAGUCCCGGUUACGCAGAGCGCGCUGGGGCAGGGCUGACCUUCCCCUUUCUCUACUUCACUGGCCUCCUCCAGACGUGGUGGUUGCGCCCUUUCGGCCUCGCUUUCCGUUUUUUGGCUUCAUCCCCUAGAUCUGCAAACAGUUCCUCGUGUUUCUUCCGUUAGCCGGGAAACGCGAACUGCAGCGUUUGGGACCCGGGUUUGCGCGUGUGGAAAGCAAAAGGGGUUACUCUGCUGGAGUUCGACAUUGCAAAUAAAGGUCUUUAUCCCCGGCGGUUCUACAAAAUUAGUUCUGCAGGGAUUCUGGUUGAAAGAAGCGUUAAAGUGGGCCUUGUAGGAGUCAGCAAUAAUCCAAUUUUACAUGGGUGCAGGUGGCUGCCUGUGUCUAGCGCUUUCACACAUCUCAUAUCUUCAUCCACGCCGUGGGUAUUUUUUUUCCACGGUGUGUUUCUGUUGCUGCCUCCAGUAUAUUGCUUAAUCAUCCUACCUGGUAAUUAUUUAUGCAUUUUUCUCCUACUCUCGACUCAGCUCCUAGGGAAUAAAAACACAUUAACUUAUCUUUGUGCCCACAGCACCCACCAAGUAUUUCCAUCACGUAAUACUGCCUCUAGAAAGGCAGGAGGAGAAGCAGUCACGCUAAGGAUCUAGGCAAGCCAGAUCUUUUGUCCGGUUUUAGGAGGUGGCCAGCCCUUACUUAUUCCACAAGUGUUUUUCCAGAAACUCAGACUUGAUAUUGCCUCAAGUCCAAGGCAGUGUGCUUCCCCCACUCACAUAUCACUAAUAGUAGCUAACAUUUGUUCAGAUCCCUGUAUGUACUCUGCCACUGUUUUAAAUGUUACACCCGGGUUACCUCAUUUAAUCCUUACAACUGCCCUGUGAGGUAGGUACUAUUAUUAUCUCUACUUUGUAGAUGGGAUUCACCGAGGCACAGACGGUUAAAAAACCUAGCCCAAAUAACACAAAUAAACAGCAGAGCAUGCAGUGCUAGAGUCUGCAUUCUUAACAAUUGCUAUAUUCUCCCUCUCCGUGAAUGUGGGCUGAGAUGCUGAAACAGGCAUGUGCUGUGGGGGAGAAAAAGCUUUGUCCAACCAAGUGCUUUCUAAUGUCCAGAUGACAUAGAGCUAGGAUUUCCUAAUGUCUUUUUUCCCCUAUUUUUCUCUCCAUUUCAGGGUUGAGUUUGUGCAUCGAUUGUGAACACAACAGGCAGCAGGCUAUAAUGGUGGUCCUGGCUGGAGUAGUUUUCACAGACUUCAGUAAUCUGUGGAGAUGAACGGGCAGUUCUCUGUAGUUUUCACAGAUCACUGCCAGUUCGUUUUGAGGCCUUCAGGAGUGAAGACCUGGCUCAUCAUCACUCUUUGUUGUUUUGUUAAAUUUAUUUACACCCUACUUUAUUCCAGAGGAAAGGAUUUAACGUAGUUUACAUAAAUGUGUACAUCAGGGUAAAUUAAAAAUAAGUACAGAGAAAAAUAGGACAAAAGAAAACCGUGAGUGUGAAAGAUAAGAUUAAGCCAGCAGUUUUGUAUGCAAAAUGCAUGGUGUAAGGUCCUAUUGGUUUGCUGGAGGUAGGCCACACAUAUGACUCUCAGUUUUCUAGCAACCAAGAAAAAGAUCAGUUGCAAUCGGAGUAGGUGUUUUGGCUAAGCUGGAACUAGGACUUGAAUAUAGCAGCUUGUAGAGUUAUACCACUUGCCCAAAUCUCUUCCAUGAGCCUCUUUAAGUGUAACAGAAUGCCUGGGAGCACGUAAAUGCUCCUACUUAGAUGCCUACUUAGCCUCUAAUUUUCAUGGGGCCCAUGAAUCCCAUGAAAAAGAACUUUGAACCCUGUCCACAAUUAGAGUUCAGGUAUACGCAGACAUGUUUAAAGACAAGGGACACCCAAAGGAAAGAUUGCACAGAGAGAAAGUGAGCAUCCGAGAGAAAAUCACCACAAGUGAGGCAGAGGGAGGCCGGUCUCAGCAGAGUUUUGGAGGUCGUGAGAAGAAGAGGUAGGAGAUAGGAGAGUGGUUCCGAGUACUUGCCUGCUGAUGUUACCUUCUCCACCCCCACCAGGUUUUCCAGUGCCUGGAGUCUUGGGCAGGAAUGGGCCACUGUAAGAAAGAGCUUUAUCACUAGGGCCUCAGCCAACUUUUCUGUGGGAUAUCCCUCCAAAAUAAUUAAGAGUUCAGAAUGCUUCAGAUUUUGAAGUGAAACUGGUACAUAUAUUAAGUGUUACUUAAUAACCCGAUAGUUUCUAGGGCAGCUCACCAUAAUCCCAAGUAUUAGCCACCACCCUCACCCCCUUCAGAGUAAAAUGUGUUUCCUGAAGGAAGUUGGGAAAAUGAAGAAAAAAAAUACAAAAAUCACCUAUAAUCUUACCAGUCAUAGAUGGCAGUUUUCCUGUCUUAUUUCUGAAUAAUGGUUGUUAAACAUUUGCCAGCACACCAUAAGGCUUAGGGAGGCAUCUGGGUCAUGCAUGUUAAUAUCCUUGGGUAAUUCCAGAAAUCUCUAUGAAGGGAAACUCCUGUUAUUUAUCUAGACUUCCUGAUUGCAAGGGGUUUGGGCAUCAUGAUUUAGGGGUCUUAAUAAAAUUAUUAUUUUAUUUUUACUAAUAGAUAAUGUCUGUGCCUAUCAGAUAAAGGCAAACCAGUGCUCAGAGGAACCCAACCAUCUCUGAAUUGAGACCAGAGAGCUGUCUCUAUGGAUAGUCCUUAGAGAAGGCAUUUCGGAACACAGUAAACAGCAGCCUGGUGACUCCGAUUACAGGGCCAGUUGCCUUUGUUACAAUAAAAGCAAGUCAUCUACACAGGCUGGAGUGUAGUGCCAUGAUCUCGGCCCGCUGCGAUCCCCACCUCCUGGGUUCAAGUGAUUCUCCUGCCUCAGCCUCCUGAGUAGCUGGGAUUAC